RNAcentral lists this ribosomal RNA (251 nucleotides) under uncultured bacterium. Its description in RNAcentral is "partial 16S ribosomal RNA". It matches the Rfam family "Bacterial small subunit ribosomal RNA", at positions 524 to 776 of the family's 1533-position model. The record is from RNAcentral.
UACGUAGGGUGCAAGCGUUAAUCGGAAUUACUGGGCGUAAAGCGUGCGCAGGCGGUUCGCUAAGACCGAUGUGAAAUCCCCGGGCUUAACCUGGGAACUGCAUUGGUGACUGGCGGGCUAGAGUAUGGCAGAGGGGUAGAAUUCCACGUGUAGCAGUGAAAUGCGUAGAGAUGUGGAGGAAUACCGAUGGCGAAGGCAGCCCCCUGGGCCAAUACUGACGCUCAUGCACGAAAGCGUGGGGAGCAAACAGG